Molecule: non-coding RNA, 1746 nt
Organism: Nicotiana tabacum (common tobacco)
Lineage: Eukaryota; Viridiplantae; Streptophyta; Magnoliopsida; Solanales; Solanaceae
Source: RefSeq, a predicted model, not a curated record
AUAUUUGCAUUCUUGAUUGAGCAUUUUUUUUAACGAGGAAAUAUUUUACUUUGCACUUCCUAAAUGUGAAAUGGUCAGUAUAUGAAAAUUUCUUACUUAGGUUGUGUUAAUAUUGGCAAGGAAGUUCCAUGGUGUUGCUAUAUGUAACACUUAAUAUUAUUUUGACGAGUUGUUAUUAAAUAUAGUAUAUAAUUAAGUUUUGGGUUUCCAACCUUUUGUAUUUAUCUAAGAAUAUUUAGUAGUUGAGGAAUCAUUUUAUUUCAUAUCUAUCCGUAAGCUCCCUAUUCUUCUACUCUUCCGAAACAAAAAAAGAAGAAGAAAUAUCUACUUCUCUCUUUCUAUCUCUAUCUUUCUACUCUAUCUCUCUAUCUCUAUCUCUCUCUAUCUUUCUCCUCUGUAAGAACAAGAAGCUGAAGGUUCAUAAAAAAAAACUCAUGGAUUUCUACUAAAUCAACACACAAAAUUCGUUUUUGGUGAAGAUCAAGUUGCUCCUCUUGGUAUAUAAACCCUUGAAAAAAAAAUCAAAGGGGAAGUGUUUGAGGAAGUGGACAGAUUUGGUUUGUUUACGGCGUAGACGAUUCGAACGUCCCCAAGUUGUGAUUGAACUGUUUUAUGGUAAAACACCAAGGUUUGUGUAUAAACUUGUACUCUUUUUGCUUGCUGGAAAUAUGUUGAAAUAACCUGAUAUUUUGUUUUUAUUGUCUUCAAUUUAUAUUGUUAUAUUCGUAUUAUAUUAAGUCUUGUCAGAAAUUUGCUAAAUCGCCCAUUCGUACGGAUUGUUUGAUCAUUUUGCAUUCUUGUUGGGACUUUGUCCUUCUUGUGGCAGUGAUUUGGUCACUCACUUGGCAUGCCUCUUGAUUCGGAUCUUUUGCCAUCUUGACUUUGGAUUUGUAGUUCGUCUUGGAUUAUGGAACUUGUCCGUGUUAAGUACGAACUAGGAAGCCAUUUUUAAUAUGGUUCUUGAUUCUCUUGUCUAUUGGGUUUUGACCCUACUUGAUUUGGGGCUUCGGUCCAUCUUGAUAUCUGAUUAUGCUUAGUGUGAUGGCAUGACGUACAUAUUGGGCGAAAAAUGGAUAUUUGGUAUACUUCCUUAAAUUGAUAGUAUACACUUUCUAGACUCUUGAACAUUGUUAUUGAUAUUUGGAAACACUUCAAAGUUUGAUAUUGGUAUGUUUGAUAUAUUUGUUCACUUGUUUUAAAUUAUGUUAAAUUGAGCUAACUAUGACUGAAAAGGGGAAUUGGAGAAUUUAAUGACUCCAAGCCUAAAGUUUAUACACCACUAAGCUUUAUGCUUAGCGAUAGUUGUUUUCUAUCGUAGGAAAUGUUCGGGAUGAAAUCUGAAGAUGGCCAGGGUGAAUUAGUCUUUUGGAAGAACUUAUGAAGAUCACAUUUGCAUAUGCACCUUGGUUUUGCAUAGUUUUGGGACGUAUACAUGAUGUACAGGAUAUACAGAAUAUAUACAUAUAUAUAUAUAUAUAUGUCACACUUAUGUUAUUUGGAGGCUUGUUGGGUUUUAAAGACCAAAAAAAUCUUGUAACUUGAAUUUGUAACUUACUUUAUUGUAUUAGGGUAUUUUAAUGACUCAGGUCUUGUAAUAUGCUGAAUUUACACUUUGUCUUGUAAAUAUGUAGAAAAGGAGAAAACUAGUUUCCCUUUCUUUAUACCCGAUAGUUUAAAAUUUAUGUAUAAUACAAACUUGCAGUGAUUUUGAAUGAGUGUAUAAAUUUGUUAGAAAGUUGUUUUAAA